This 393-nucleotide ribosomal RNA is filed under the name uncultured bacterium. RNAcentral's name for it is "bacterial SSU rRNA". It matches the Rfam family "Bacterial small subunit ribosomal RNA", at positions 28 to 423 of the family's 1533-position model. The record is from RNAcentral.
GACGAACGCUGGCGGCGUGCUUAACACAUGCAAGUCGAGCGGUAAGGCCCUUUCGGGGGUACACGAGCGGCGAACGGGUGAGUAACACGUGGGUGACCUGCCCUCAGCUCUGGGAUAAGCCUGGGAAACUGGGUCUAAUACUGGAUAUGACUCCACGGUGCAUGUCGUGGGGUGGAAAGCCUUGUGCGGCUGAGGAUGGGCCCGCGGCCUAUCAGCUUGUUGGUGGGGUGAUGGCCUACCAAGGCGACGACGGGUAGCCGGCCUGAGAGGGCGACCGGCCACACUGGGACUGAGACACGGCCCAGACUCCUACGGGAGGCAGCAGUGGGGAAUCUUGCGCAAUGGGCGAAAGGCCUGACGCAGCGACGCCGCGUGAGGGAUGACGGCCUCGGU